CAGCAGCCGCGGUAAUACGUAGGGUGCAAGCGUUAAUCGGAAUUACUGGGCGUAAAGCGUGCGCAGGCGGUGUUGUAAGACAGAUGUGAAAUCCCCGGGCUCAACCUGGGAACUGCAUUUGUGACUGUAUAGCUAGAGUACGGCAGAGGGGGAUGGAAUUCCGCGUGUAGCAGUGAAAUGCGUAGAUAUGCGGAGGAACACCGAUGGCGAAGGCAAUCCCCUGGGCCUGUACUGACGCUCAUGCACGAAAGCGUGGGGAGCAAACAGGAUUAGAUACCCGGGUAGUCCCUGUCUCUUAUAC
This 301-nucleotide ribosomal RNA is filed under the name uncultured bacterium. RNAcentral's name for it is "partial 16S ribosomal RNA". It matches the Rfam family "Bacterial small subunit ribosomal RNA", at positions 509 to 807 of the family's 1533-position model. The record is from RNAcentral.